RNAcentral lists this unclassified non-coding RNA (1086 nucleotides) under Hevea brasiliensis (rubber tree). The record is from RNAcentral. Lineage: Eukaryota; Viridiplantae; Streptophyta; Magnoliopsida; Malpighiales; Euphorbiaceae.
CUUCUGCUGAGUCUGAAAUUAUAUUUUAAAAAGGUGAUGAAAUACUAAUUUUUAAUGCAACCUCACACACCAGAUCUACACUGAGCUCACCCGCAAGCUGCCUGCGAUGGUUGAAUGGAAUCUCUUUCUAUUUCAUAGUCUAGAAAGGCAUGUGAGAUCACAAGAGAGACCCAUCAAUUCAAUCAUGUGCAGGUGGAAGAGAAAAACCCAGAAAUGAAGGAGAGUUGGUGAUGAUUCAUGAAGCUAUAUUUGAUUGAUUCAUCUCUCUAUCAUCAUAAUUAAUCACUAGCAGUGAAAGUAAUAGCAACAUUAAGAACUCAGCCACCCCCUUCAAAGGAGAUUCAGAGCCCAAAAAAUCUAAACCAAAAGGCCAAAAAAACAAAAAACACUCAACACAAAAAGACCAAAAUUUUAACUAUUUAUGUACAUGUAUAUAAUCUUCUUCCUCUUCCUCCUUGGAUGCCAAGAAAAUGCCUAGAAAUUGGGUCUAUUUUGGAGCGAACCCAAGAGCCCAUCUCACAGAAAGAAAGAGAAAUCAAGAAAGAGGCCAAAACAAGACAGAGAGAGAAAGAGAAGAUUAACUUUGAACCAUUUCUCUCUCUCUUGAUGAAUCCCUCUUAUCUUUGGUUUCUCCCAUCACCUGAUUCAAGAAUCACUAUAAUCUCUCCAGCAAAUGAGCAUGGUAACACACCUCCUCAUGAUGUAGAAUCUGGCUCUCUGUUCUUUAACCAAUCUUGCACAUUUUCUUGUAAAAGAACACCUUCUCUGAGAUGAAUUCUUCAUGAGAGGAGAAGAUGAAGAUCGGCUGCUUCUUGAUGACCCUUCUUUCUUUGAAAGCUUCCACUUCUCAUCAAAGUAAAACUGAGGUGGUGCACUUGCACUAUGAGCAAGAGUAUUAGCCAUAACAAAAACUGCUGCAGCAAGAAAGACGAGAAAACAGAAAAGAAGCUUGUCAAAGAUCUCUUUAGGCUCCUCUGUUUUAGUGGAUUUGUUCAAGAAAGCUAGAGUGAAAAAAGAGACAGAACCAAAUGGGCGUUGAUUCUUGGAGAACUUAAACUGAGUUCAUAGAAGGAGAAAGAGUGGCGG